Molecule: ribosomal RNA, 936 nt
Filed under: fungal sp. DAF-55
Lineage: Eukaryota; Fungi
Description: eukaryotic LSU rRNA
Rfam family: Eukaryotic large subunit ribosomal RNA (bases 392-936)
Source: RNAcentral
GGCGGGUUCGCCCGCCGGCUGGACAACUCAAUAACCUUUUUAAUUUUCAAUCAGCGUCUGAAUAAUUAUAAUAAUUACAACUUUCAACAACGGAUCUCUUGGUUCUGGCAUCGAUGAAGAACGCAGCGAAAUGCGAUAAGUAGUGUGAAUUGCAGAAUUCAGUGAAUCAUCGAAUCUUUGAACGCACAUUGCGCCCCUUGGUAUUCCAUGGGGCAUGCUUGUUCGAGCGUCAUUUGUACUCUCAAGCUUUGCUUGGUGUUGGGUGUUUGUCCUUUCCUUGUGGUUGGACUCGCCUUAAAUUCAUUGGCAGCCAAAGUAUUGGUUUGAAGCGCAGCACAAUUUGCGAUUCUGACUGGUAUUGUUAGCGUCCAGUAAGCACAUUUAACACUUUUGACCUCGGAUCAAGUAGGGAUACCCGCUGAACUUAAGCAUAUCAAUAAGCGGAGGAAAAGAAACCAACAGGGAUUGCCCUAGUAACGGCGAGUGAAGCGGCAACAGCUCAAAUUUGAAAUCUGGCUCUUUCAGAGUCCGAGUUGUAAUUUGCAGAGGGCGCUUUGGCGUUGGCAGCGGUCCAAGUUCUUUGGAACAGGACGUCACAGAGGGUGAGAAUCCCGUACGUGGUCGCUAUCCUUCGCCGUGUAAAGCCCCUUCGACGAGUCGAGUUGUUUGGGAAUGCAGCUCUAAAUGGGAGGUAAAUUUCUUCUAAAGCUAAAUACUGGCCAGAGACCGAUAGCGCACAAGUAGAGUGAUCGAAAGAUGAAAAGCACUUUGGAAAGAGAGUCAAAUAGCACGUGAAAUUGUUGAAAGGGAAGCGCUUGCAGCCAGACUUGCCUGUAGUUGCUUAUCUAGACUUUUGUCUGGUGCACUCUUCUGCGGGCAGGCCAGCAUCAGUUUAGGCGGUUAGAUAAAGGUCUCUGUCAUGUACCUCUCUUCGGG